CCUACGGGUGGCAGCAGUGGGGAAUAUUGCAUAAUGGCGGAAACCCUGAUGCAGCGAAGCCGCGUGAGUGAAGAAGUCUUACGGCAUGUAAAGCUCUAUCAGCAGGGAGGAAGAAAGACGGUACCUGACUAAGAAGCCCCGGCUAACUACGUGCCAGCAGCCGCGGUACUACGUAGGGGGCAAGCGUUAUCCGGAUUUACUGGGGGUAAAGGGAGCGUAGACGGCUGUGCAAGUCUGAAGGGAAAGCCCAGGGCUCAACCCUCGGACUGCUUGGGAAACUGUGGAGCUAGAGUGGUGGAGAGGUAAGUGGAAUUCCGAGGGUAGCGGUGAAAUGCGUAGAUAUUAGGAGGAACACCAGUGGCGAAGGCGGCUUACUGGACAGUAACUGACGUUGAGGGUCGAAAGCGUGGGGAGCAAACAGGAUUAGAUACCCCAGUAGUCC
RNAcentral lists this ribosomal RNA (442 nucleotides) under uncultured bacterium. Its description in RNAcentral is "partial 16S ribosomal RNA". It matches the Rfam family "Bacterial small subunit ribosomal RNA", at positions 338 to 796 of the family's 1533-position model. The record is from RNAcentral.